RNAcentral lists this ribosomal RNA (466 nucleotides) under uncultured Smithella sp. Its description in RNAcentral is "partial 16S ribosomal RNA". The record is from RNAcentral. Lineage: Bacteria; Pseudomonadati; Thermodesulfobacteriota; Syntrophia; Syntrophales; Smithellaceae.
GACUACAAGGGUAUCUAAUCCUGUUUGCUACCCACGCUCUCGCGUCUCAGCGUCAGUAUAGGGCCAGAAAGUCGCCUUCGCCACCGGUGUUCCUCCUGAUAUCUACGAAUUUCACCUCUACACCAGGAAUUCCACUUUCCUCUCCCCUACUCAAGCUGAAUAGUUUCAAAUGCACUUCCUGGGUUAAGCCCAGGGAUUUCACAUCUGACUUAUUCAGCCGCCUACACGCUCUUUACGCCCAAUAAUUCCGAACAACGCUUGCACCCCCCGUAUUACCGCGGCUGCUGGCACGGAGUUAGCCGGUGCUUCCUUUAGCGGUACCGUCAAAUAUCAUGGAUAUUAGCCACGAUACAUUUCUUCCCGCUCGACAGAGCUUUACGGUCCGAAAACCUUCCUCACUCACGCGGCGUUGCUGCGUCAGGGUUGCCCCCAUUGCGCAAUAUUCCUCACUGCAGCCUCCCGUAGG